UGAAGACAACCAAAACAAGAGAUCACUUCUACCCUGAAUGAUUCAUUCUGUUUUACAGUGAGCAGAAGCAGCAGAGCUGGGAACAGUGAGCAGAUGUCCUGAGCUGGCCUGAGAAAGCCCAGGCAGCCACACCAAUACAACCACCAGCACACAGUUCUCAGGGUGGCUGCCUAACACCUGCAGCACUCCCACAUCCCUGUGUAAAUUGCCU
Molecule: long non-coding RNA, 211 nt
Filed under: Parus major (Great Tit)
Lineage: Eukaryota; Metazoa; Chordata; Aves; Passeriformes; Paridae
Description: lncRNA (ENSPMJG00000007518.1)
Source: RNAcentral